GAUUAACGCUGGCGGCGUGCAUAACACAUGCAAGUCGAACGAUGAAACUUUGUAGACUUCUUCGGAAAGACACUAAGCGGAUUAGUUGCGAACGGGUGAGUAACGCGUGAGUAACCUGACUUCCUCAAGGGGAUAGCCUUUGGAAACGAAGAAUAAUACCCUAUCAUACCAUAAAAGCACAUGCUAGAAUGGUCAAAGUGAUAGCGGUGUAAGAUGGACUUGCUUCUGAUUAGCUAGUUGGUGAGAUAAAAGCUCACUAAGGCAACGAGCAGUAGCCGGCUGGAGAGAGUGUACGGCCAGACUGGGACUGAGACACGGCCCAGACGCCUACGGGAGGCGGCAGUGAGGAAUUAUGCACAAUGGGGGAAACCCUGAUGCAGCGACGCCGCGUGAUUGAGAAGGCCUUCGGGUUGUAAAAAUCUUUUGUAUAGAAAGAAAAUGACAGUACUAUACGAAUAAGGACCGGCUAAUUACGUG
Molecule: ribosomal RNA, 477 nt
Filed under: uncultured bacterium
Lineage: Bacteria
Description: partial 16S ribosomal RNA
Rfam family: Bacterial small subunit ribosomal RNA
Source: RNAcentral